CUUUAACUUGCUCUAAGCCGAGAAGCCCGAAACCUCCCUGACCUCGAACCAGUCGGUGACGAGCGUCCCCGCUAGGAAAAGCACGAGGCUCCGAUGACACGAAGCUCACCUCGAGUACCUGCACAUCCGGAGUCCAGUUGGUGUCGACUACCACCCGCAUACAGUCACUUGCUGAUGACCACACCACCACCGCCGUAGUCAGCCCUCCUCAGCAGCAUCCACCGCCGACCCCCUGGCCAUGGCCACGGAACCACCCGCACACCAAGCAAGCAGCUGGAAAGCCAGAUCCGGGCGCCAUGGAGCACCCCGACCGACAUGGCUGCACACUAGCAUGA
RNAcentral lists this long non-coding RNA (335 nucleotides) under Hordeum vulgare. Its description in RNAcentral is "long non-coding RNA (HVUL_LNC010775)". The record is from RNAcentral. Lineage: Eukaryota; Viridiplantae; Streptophyta; Magnoliopsida; Poales; Poaceae.